Molecule: unclassified non-coding RNA, 470 nt
Filed under: Hevea brasiliensis (rubber tree)
Lineage: Eukaryota; Viridiplantae; Streptophyta; Magnoliopsida; Malpighiales; Euphorbiaceae
Source: RNAcentral
GACACGUAACGAUACAUAAAUCACACUAAAUAGGUUUUAUUACAGGACAAAAGUCGGUGUUCCUCUACAGCUUUACUCAUAUUAAAGUGGGGUCAAUCUUCGUAUUUAAUAAUUUAUAUGAGUUGGCCCCCGCUGUACUUACUUUUAGAAAAACAACCAAAGUGCUUUCGACACGUAAUCUGUUACAGAUCUAUCUGACUGUGACGGUCACCUGAUUUUGUGCUCUAUUUCAAGCUUACACGUAGUACUGACCAGUCUCCACAUGGAUGUGGGCCAGCUUCUCGAAAGUUCCACUUCUGGUACAGCAACCCAGUCAGUCAUACGAAUUUUUCGAUACAUCAGUCAUACGUACGUGGUGAGACGUGUGGGUCCAACUUCUCACCCUUGUAGCAUAUUUCUAAAAGAGCACAUUGCAAAAACCCCCUCCAUCUCUUACUCAUUUUUACAAUUUUACUUUUUUUUUUUAAUAA